RNAcentral lists this ribosomal RNA (484 nucleotides) under uncultured bacterium. Its description in RNAcentral is "partial 16S ribosomal RNA". It matches the Rfam family "Bacterial small subunit ribosomal RNA", at positions 30 to 507 of the family's 1533-position model. The record is from RNAcentral.
AUUGAACGCUGGCGGCAGGCCUAACACAUGCAAGUCGAGCGGAGGAAGGGAGCUUGCUCCUGGAUUCAGCGGCGGACGGGUGAGUAAUGCCUAGGAAUCUGCCUGGCAGUGGGGGAUAACGUCCGGAAACGGGCGCUAAUACCGCAUACGGCCUGAGGGAGAAAGUGGGGGAUGUUCGGACCUGACGCUAUCAGAUGAGCCUAGGGCGGCUUAGCUAGUUGGUGGGGUAAAGGCCUACCAAGGCGACGAUCCGUGACUGGUCUGAGAGGAUGAUCAGUCACCCUGGUACUGCGACACGGUCCAGCCUCCUACGGGAGGCAGCAGUGGGGAAUAUUGGACCAUGGGCGGAGGCAUGCUCCAGCCGCGCCGCGUGUGUGGAGAAGGUCUUCGGAUUGUAAAGAACUUUAAGUUGGGAGGAAGGGCACUAAGUUAAUACCUUGCUGUUUUGACGUUACCUACAGAAUAAGCACCGGCUAACUUCGUG